GGCGAGGGCGCGAAAUUGUACUGAUUUUUUGAAUGGUUUGGCCACCGUUUGCCGAAUGGAAUUUAUUGUUAUUAAUUACAUAUGUAUUGAUGUGUGUGUAUGUGUAAUGGUAAUUUAAUUGCAUUUUUUAAAAUCCCAAAUAUGAAUAAUUGAUUGUUAAUUAAGUUUUGAAGCAAAGAAAACUCUAGAUGUAAACGAACCCCAAUGAAUAUUUACUACACGUUGUGCAAUUUUUGCUUACACUAGGAAUUAGGAAUUUGUUAUUCAACUAAACAAAAUAAUUUUGUUGCAGAAACAGAAACAGAAACAGCAGGCCCCAUCCGUGCACUGACCGCCGGCGCAUGGUGAAAUUGCUCACAAGGUGAAGUCUUCAACACAGAGCACUCUGUAUCUCCAUCCCUUUCUAGCGCUUGUCUUUUUGAGCGUGGUGAAUAAGUUAGUGAGGACAGCGCCCCCUUCUAAGUAAUUUCACCAUGAGCCGGCACGUCUCUAGGUUUCUCAUAGUGUAUGUAUGUAUGUAUUGUAUGUAUGUGUUAGUCGGGACCAUUUCAAAAUUAAACGAAAAAAAAACAAUUAAAUAAUCAAAAAAAAACACUAGAGAGGCACGCCACAAACACACAGCAUAGAGAUUAGUUUUACAUGCGAUUUAUGCAGCAACAAUUUAGAACGAUGAAUUUUGAGGAAUUUUUAACUCUGAAUGUACCCAAAUUAAGCCUGUAGCAAGGACACACACCUACUUAUAGAAAAAAGUCCAUUAAAUGUCUUAUAAAAAAAUACGAGUAUUGGGGAGAUGAACAAAAAUCCACAAAACUAUUGCAGCACAAUGGAAUUUAAAGGAAUGCUAACGUUGGUGGUUCCAUCAAAAAAUAUCAAUUGGCACGCGGCCCAAAUUGUAGAAUGGACACCAGUAAAGUAGCGGUACAUUGAGGAGAAAAUACACAUACAUAUACAUAGGCAUGUACAUAAUAAAUGUAUUUAUGUACGUGCGCAGACACUAAAUUUAAUACACAAAACACAUCUUAGAGCAAAUAUUUAGAUGUAAUUUGAAUUUUUGUCCAAAAAUCUGAAUAUAUUCCCCGCUCAAUGCCACACAAAAGGGUCAAUUCGAGCCGUAAACUAAACCCAAAUUCGAACGGAUUGUACAGGUACACAUACAUAUGUACUUACAUGGAUAGAGUGCAGUGGGAGGUGUUAAUGAUGAAAAUGAGUCGGAUAUGUAUUCCAUUUUACUCGUACCAAUAUUAUAAAUGUG
This 1252-nucleotide long non-coding RNA is filed under the name Drosophila guanche. Lineage: Eukaryota; Metazoa; Arthropoda; Insecta; Diptera; Drosophilidae. The record is from RNAcentral.